GCAAGUCGAGCGGAGAUGAGGUGCUUGCACCUUAUCUUAGCGGCGGACGGGUGAGUAAUGCUUAGGAAUCUGCCUAUUAGUGGGGGACAACAUUCCGAAAGGAAUGCUAAUACCGCAUACGCCCUACGGGGGAAAGCAGGGGAUCUUCGGACCUUGCGCUAAUAGAUGAGCCUAAGUCGGAUUAGCUAGUUGGUGGGGUAAAGGCCUACCAAGGCGACGAUCUGUAGCGGGUCUGAGAGGAUGAUCCGCCACACUGGGACUGAGACACGGCCCAGACUCCUACGGGAGGCAGCAGUGGGGAAUAUUGGACAAUGGGCGGAAGCCUGAUCCAGCCAUGCCGCGUGUGUGAAGAAGGCCUUUUGGUUGUAAAGCACUUUAAGCGAGGAGGAGGCUACUUAGAUUAAUACUCUAGGAUAGUGGACGUUACUCGCAGAAUAAGCACCGGCUAACUCUGUGCCAGCAGCCGCGGUAAUACAGAGGGUGCGAGCGUUAAUCGGAUUUACUGGGCGUAAAGCGUGCGUAGGCGGCUGAUUAAGUCGGAUGUGAAAUCCCUGAGCUUAACUUAGGAAUUGCAUUCGAUACUGGUCAGCUAGAGUAUGGGAGAGGAUGGUAGAAUUCCAGGUGUAGCGGUGAAAUGCGUAGAGAUCUGGAGGAAUACCGAUGGCGAAGGCAGCCAUCUGGCCUAAUACUGACGCUGAGGUACGAAAGCAUGGGGAGCAAACAGGAUUAGAUACCCUGGUAGUCCAUGCCGUAAACGAUGUCUACUAGCCGUUGGGGCCUUUGAGGCUUUAGUGGCGCAGCUAACGCGAUAAGUAGACCGCCUGGGGAGUACGGUCGCAAGACUAAAACUCAAAUGAAUUGACGGGGGCCCGCACAAGCGGUGGAGCAUGUGGUUUAAUUCGAUGCAACGCGAAGAACCUUACCU
Molecule: ribosomal RNA, 925 nt
Filed under: Acinetobacter tjernbergiae
Lineage: Bacteria; Pseudomonadati; Pseudomonadota; Gammaproteobacteria; Moraxellales; Moraxellaceae
Description: bacterial SSU rRNA
Rfam family: Bacterial small subunit ribosomal RNA
Source: RNAcentral